GGAGAUGUAGCUCAGUGGUAGAGCACAUGCCCAGCAUAUGCAAGGUCCUGGGUUCGAUCCCCAGCACCACCA
This 72-nucleotide transfer RNA is filed under the name Fukomys damarensis (Damara mole-rat). It matches the Rfam family "tRNA". Rfam says of the family: Transfer RNA (tRNA) molecules are approximately 80 nucleotides in length. Their secondary structure includes four short double-helical elements and three loops (D, anti-codon, and T loops). Lineage: Eukaryota; Metazoa; Chordata; Mammalia; Rodentia; Bathyergidae. The record is from Rfam by way of RNAcentral.